UCAUUAAUGAAAGCUUUUCAGCUCUCUUAUACCCCUUUGUCUACCUUCCAUGUUGCUUUCACCGGACAGGUUAUACUCGUCAGAGUACAACCCUCUGGCUGAUGUUUAGGCAUUGGCUGGCGAGUGCUGGUGGAGAGAAAAAUUAAAAACAUUUAGAAACCUUAGUCUGAACUAAUUUUGAAAAAUAACAAAACUUUCAACAACGGAUCUCUAGGCUCUUGCAUCGAUGAAGAACGCAGUGAAAUGCGAUAAGUAAUGUGAAUUGCAGAAUCUCGUGAAUCAUCGAAUCUUUGAACGCACAUUGCGCCUUAUGGUAAUCCGUAAGGCAUGCCUGUCUGAGCGUCAUAUACUCCACCUCAAGCUACUUCUGCUUGGAUAUCCUUGGAAAAGUACCUCACAAUCCUUGAGGUGCCUUCCAGAAAUCAAUAGGCGGUAUGGUUGUUUCUAGACCAGACGUAAUAUCUCAAAAAUCGUUGUCUAGAUGCAUCGUGCCUGCCUUCAACCCACCCUUCAUUAUACUUGGGUGACCUC
Molecule: ribosomal RNA, 531 nt
Filed under: uncultured fungus from ectomycorrhizal root
Lineage: Eukaryota; Fungi
Description: eukaryotic LSU rRNA
Rfam family: 5.8S ribosomal RNA (bases 192-345)
Source: RNAcentral